RNAcentral lists this long non-coding RNA (727 nucleotides) under Bemisia tabaci. Its description in RNAcentral is "lncRNA ENSSSA1UGG009899". The record is from RNAcentral. Lineage: Eukaryota; Metazoa; Arthropoda; Insecta; Hemiptera; Aleyrodidae.
CAUUGUCCAUGUUCUUCAUCGUCUCUGAAAAUGUGGGCAUAAAUUAUCAGUCAAUAAAAGAAAAUGCAUUGCAACCUAUUACGAUUUUCUCUCAUUCAUGGAGUUUACUUUUUCAAAUCUUAAUUGUUUAGAUAAAUCAUUCAGCAUGGCAACGGAAGGACCUGCAAAGGAGAUAUCUGACAUCAUCCACCAAUGGGAAGAGGCCCACUCUGGGUUAGAUUAUGACCCUACAUCAACCCUUACCCUGCUAUCAGAUAUGCUGGAGGUUGAAUAUGCCAAAUAUCUUGAGUCAAAUCCAGAUCCCUUUGAUGAAAGACAUCCAUCUCGAAUUCGACCUAAUUGUGCUUUGGAAAUAUGCUGAAAAUCAUCUUCCGAAAGGAAGCUUUCAUGAACAAGUUAGUUUCAGAUUACCUCAAAGAAAAUUAUUUCACUCGAAAUCAUCGAGAUGGAGAUUACGUCGCAUUAAAUACUGCUGCUUGUCGAUUGACUGUGAAUCUGUUGCUUGGUUUGGAAGCUGCAGCCGUAUUAGGACCAGUAAGUUAAUUUUGCCAUCAUUUUUGUCCUUUUUAUUUUAGGAGAAAAGGAGGGAUCUCUCUGAAACCUUAUUUGUUUAACCUCCCGCCCCACCCUCCCCCUCCGGAAGUUGUUUGCAUUAACAAUAAGUUACCAAAAAAUACUUUAUUUCACCAUCAUAGACCGUAGAAUGUAAAAAGUUGACAGAUAAGGU